Molecule: long non-coding RNA, 744 nt
Organism: Panicum virgatum (switchgrass)
Lineage: Eukaryota; Viridiplantae; Streptophyta; Magnoliopsida; Poales; Poaceae
Exons: 2
Source: RefSeq, a predicted model, not a curated record
UUCAGAUGGACGACGAAACCCUUCCUCUUGCCUGGCCUGGCCUAACACGCGCACACCGAUCUGUCAAUCAGGCGGAUCCUCUCGCGAUCCUGUAGGUUCCGGGCAGCAGGCAGGAAACGAAACGUUACGCUCCAACCAAGCACAUCCAUCCGGAGCAGGGGGCAGGGCCACGCACACUUGUGCAGUGCAGGGUACCUUUUGUAGAAUCCUCUUCCAGCGAAGCAAAUCUUUGAAGAGAUCCUUCCACUGUCUUUACUAGCAAUAUCCUCCUAUUCCUUCCUUGGACUUUUCAUUUUCUUUGCACACACCAACAGCUCACCUACGACAGCCAGCAGCGGUUGUAGCAUAAUACUAUAUACUAGGAGUACUUUGCCGAUACGAUACGCACAAGCACGAACAGGAAUAAUAAUCUCCUUGCCGAUUUGAUUCCCCCCACAGCCAGCACAAGGAGACCAUGCAAUAAUACUGCCCGGGGCGUGACAGAAAUGAAUACACAAAUCAUGCUAUGGCAGAGCCCAACCAUCUGCGUUAUUGAUUAGCUAUCAAUCAAUCAUGGACAGACAGAUGAAGAGGAAUCAGCCAUGUGGGUUACCAAGAAAUGAGAAGUGGGCAGAAUUAGUAACUGCUAAUCCUGGAAAACUGGUGUGAAAAGCUCCGAUCAUGGAAAGGUUAACAGGGUUGCCCUGCCCUGAUGCCAAUUUUUCUUUUUUUUUUUCAAUCAACAGGUUGAGAGGUUUCUCUGAA